UACGUAGGUGGCAAGCGUUGUCCGGAAUUAUUGGGCGUAAAGCGCGCGCAGGCGGUCCUUUAAGUCUGAUGCGAAAGCCCACGGCUCAACCGUGGAGGGUCAUUGGAAACUGGGGGACUUGAGUGCAGAAGAGGAAAGCGGAAUUCCACGUGUAGCGGUGAAAUGCGUAGAGAUGUGGAGGAACACCAGUGGCGAAGGCGGCUUUCUGGUCUGUAACUGACGCUGAGGCGCGAAAGCGUGGGGAGCAAACAGG
Molecule: ribosomal RNA, 253 nt
Filed under: uncultured bacterium
Lineage: Bacteria
Description: partial 16S ribosomal RNA
Rfam family: Bacterial small subunit ribosomal RNA
Source: RNAcentral